UGCACUGAGAAGUGUGAGUGUGACCAGU
RNAcentral lists this non-coding RNA (28 nucleotides) under Rattus norvegicus (Norway rat). The record is from RNAcentral. Lineage: Eukaryota; Metazoa; Chordata; Mammalia; Rodentia; Muridae.